AGCAGCCGCGGUAAUUCCAGCUCCAAUAGCGUAUAUUAAAGUUGUUGCAGUUAAAAAGCUCGUAGUUGAAUUUCGGGAUCAGUUGGUCGGUCGUGCCUCGGUACGUACUGGUCAAAUUGAUUCCUACCUUCUGACGAACCACGAUGUCAUUAAUUUGGUGUCGCGGGAAAUCAGGACUGUUACUUUGAAAAAAUUAGAGUGUUUAAAGCAGGCUCGCGCUUGAAUACAUUAGCAUGGAAUAAUGAAAUAGGACGUUUGAUUCUAUUUUGUUGGUUUCUAGGAUCGACGUAAUGAUUAAUAGGGAUAGUUGGGGGCAUUAGUAUUCAAUUGUCAGAGGUGAAAUUCUUGGAUUUAUUGAAGACUAACUACUGCGAAAGCAUUUGCCAAGGAUGUUUUCAUUAAUCAAGAACGAAAGUUAGGGGAUCGAAGACGAUCAGAUACCGUCGUAGUCUUAACC
This 457-nucleotide ribosomal RNA is filed under the name uncultured Glomus. RNAcentral's name for it is "SSU rRNA". It matches the Rfam family "Eukaryotic small subunit ribosomal RNA", at positions 569 to 1031 of the family's 1831-position model. Lineage: Eukaryota; Fungi; Glomeromycota; Glomeromycetes; Glomerales; Glomeraceae. The record is from RNAcentral.